RNAcentral lists this transfer RNA (71 nucleotides) under Candidatus Naiadarchaeales archaeon SRR2090153.bin1042. RNAcentral describes it as "tRNA-Gly". It matches the Rfam family "tRNA". From Rfam's summary of the family: Transfer RNA (tRNA) molecules are approximately 80 nucleotides in length. Their secondary structure includes four short double-helical elements and three loops (D, anti-codon, and T loops). Lineage: Archaea; Nanobdellati; Candidatus Undinarchaeota; Candidatus Undinarchaeia; Candidatus Naiadarchaeales. RNAcentral also lists the same sequence under 1 other name. The record is from RNAcentral.
GCGCCCUUGGUCUAGUGGUAUGACUUGAGCUUCCCAAGCUCAGGACGUGGGUUCGAUUCCCGCAGGGCGCA